Molecule: long non-coding RNA, 1941 nt
Organism: Eptatretus burgeri (inshore hagfish)
Lineage: Eukaryota; Metazoa; Chordata; Myxini; Myxiniformes; Myxinidae
Source: Ensembl
AAUAUCCAAAAGUUUAGUUUAAUGAGGAAUUAAAACUCGGGACUAUUAUCUAACAUCGUACCAAGCAUUAUCGAAAGCGAGGUGGACGCCAUACUUCAGACGGUGUAUAAACCUUGUGUGUUAUCAGCGCUGGUGUACUGCUCUUGUGCCAAAGUUCUCGUCGAGGUGUUUAUCUUUCCUUUAAUGGAUUGAAAUAAAGGUUGAGAAUGUCAAUACGGUUAUUUCUGAUUGACUUGGCUCAUUGCUUUAAUAUAUGUGGAAGUCGACUUGUUCAAGCAGAAGAGUUCAUCAGUCAGUCAGGUUCCAUCGUCGCCGACGAUGGAUAUGACAAAAGAAACCAAGAAAGGGAGGCUGGGAGCACGAGUGCACAAGCAGAGAAUGGCUGCUAAAUUCCCAAUGGUCUCUGAGGUUCAUUUGACACCUGGGUGUAUGGAUUCUCCAACUGUGUGCUGCUAUUGUGGUGAAGAACCACCUGUGGUGAACUGUUUAUCCUGCUUCUGCCUGUGGUGUGAACCAUGCUUUCAAAAGGUUCACAGCCUGUCGGAUAUUUUGAUGAAACAUGACAAAGUCCAUCUGCCAACGAGCAGAAAUCAAAACAAAAUCUCCAUCUUGAACAAUGAAGAUGCUUCGGUGCCUGACUCUCAGAAUCGAAAACUCGACAAAUUUUUGGAGGACAAGAAAGUCGUCAUUGAUUUGCUGAAUGAAGCCAUUUCUAUUGCAAAAGUUGGAUAUAACAAGCUUGCAUUUCAUUAUCAGAAUCUGGGAAAAGUAAAAGCUGAUCUGGAGAGGAGUCUUGUAAAAGCGAGGGAGGACGUGACACGAUGCAUGAAGAUGCUUGAUUCUGCACUACAGGCUAGAAAGAAAGAGUUGAAGGACCUUUUGGAAGCAGAAGGUUUGAAAAGGGCUUCAUCACUGGACCUUGAGAGGGAUGAAACCAAGAAAGUUCUAUUUGAUCGUGAGCAAGCUCUGUCCAAGGCCUUCGAGUUGGUGGAUCUGAUUGACAAAAGUGACGAUUCAAUUGGAGCUGAUGCAGUUGAGGUUUUGCGCUGCUUACAGGGCCUUAAUUUUUUGAAUAUCUGCAGCAAUGAAAUGAAGACUUCUGAAAUAAAAUGUUUUUUGGACACAAAAAGCCUUCUUGAAUGCAUCAAGAAAUUUGGUGCAGUUGAGUCACUUAGUUUUGAUGGGUUAAGCAUUUUGGGUGGUGUUGUGGAGGUAGGUUCUCUAUCUCCAUUGGACACCAAGGUCACCAAACCAAACUGCUUGGCCAUUGAGGAGGACCACACUUCACGGAGUGGAAUGCUGGAUGAAGGUCUGGAGAAGGGGGGUGCCCAAUCUUCCUCGGACACAGAUGUCCCCAAACCGAACUGGUUGGCCAUUGAGGGGGAUCACACUUCAGAGAGUAGAAUGCUGGAUGAAGGUCUGGAGAAGGGAGAUGCCCAAGUUUCUUUGGACACAGAUGUCCUCAAAACAAACUGCUUGGCCAUUGAGGAGGAUCACACUUCACAGAGUAGAAUGCUGGAUGAAGGUCUGGAGGAGGGAGACGUGCAAGCUUCCUCGGACACAGAGGUCCCCGAACCAAACUGGUUGGCCAUUGAGGUUGACCCCACUUUACAGAGUGGGUUCCAUGAGUUCUACUGUGAACAGAAUUAGUAGAAAUGAAAAAUGUUAGCUUUCUGGGCUUUUUAUUUAUAUGUGAAUAAGGAAAAGAAUUGCAGAGGAAUGUUUUCUUUUUUAUUUUGUAAGGAGAACAUGUGUAUUGCAGCCUUCCAUAGGUAGAAUUUUCUUACCAAUCUUGGUGUUUUAAAGGCAACCACAACCACCAAGUGUGUUCUCUUUGCAUCACUUUGGUCUGAGAUGUUCCCUUUGGAUCACAUGUGUACAGCAAGUGGUGUGUGUGUAUAUUAUUGCCCUCCUCAAGCUCAUUAGUGAGUCAGCCAGGUU